This 497-nucleotide ribosomal RNA is filed under the name uncultured bacterium. RNAcentral's name for it is "partial 16S ribosomal RNA". It matches the Rfam family "Bacterial small subunit ribosomal RNA", at positions 28 to 507 of the family's 1533-position model. The record is from RNAcentral.
GAUGAACGCUGGCGGCGUGCCUAAUACAUGCAAGUCGAGCGAACAGAUAAGGAGCUUGCUCCUUUGACGUUAGCGGCGGACGGGUGAGUAACACGUGGGUAACCUACCUAUAAGACUGGAAUAACUCCGGGAAACCGGGGCUAAUGCCGGAUAACAUUUAGAACCGCAUGGUUCUAAAGUGAAAGAUGGUUUUGCUAUCACUUAUAGAAGGACCCGCGCCGUAUUAGCUAGUUGGUAAGGUAACGGCUUACCAAGGCAACGAUACGUAGCCGACCUGAGAGGGUGAUCGGCCACACUGGAACUGAGACACGGUCCAGACUCCUACGGGAGGCAGCAGUAGGGAAUCUUCCGCAAUGGGCGAAAGCCUGACGGAGCAACGCCGCGUGAGUGAUGAAGGUCUUCGGAUCGUAAAACUCUGUUAUUAGGGAAGAACAAAUGUGUAAGUAACUGUGCACGUCUUGACGGUACCUAAUCAGAAAGCCACGGCUAACUACGUG